CCCUUAGAUGUUCUGGGCCGCACGCGUGCUACACUGAACGGUUCAAUGGGUGAGGUAGUGCGAAAGCAUGACCCAAUCUCAAAAUCCGUUCGUGCUGGGGAUAGAAGCUUGCAAUUCUCCUUCUUGAACGAGGAAUACCUUGUAAGCGCGAGUCAUCAUCUCGCGCUGAAUACGUCCCUGCCCUUUGUACACACCGCCCGUCGCUCCUACCGAUUGAGUGGUCCGGUGAGGCUUCGGGAGAGCUAAAUGGAUUGUGUUUCACAAACUAUUUGGCUUGAACUUUGUCAAACCUUACUACUUAGAGGAAGGAGAAGUCGUAACA
RNAcentral lists this ribosomal RNA (322 nucleotides) under uncultured eukaryote. RNAcentral's name for it is "partial 18S ribosomal RNA". It matches the Rfam family "Eukaryotic small subunit ribosomal RNA", at positions 1470 to 1796 of the family's 1831-position model. The record is from RNAcentral.